GACAGAGGGUGCGAACGUUGCUCGGAAUUACUGGGCGUAAAGCGCGUGUGGGCGGGUGAUCAAGUCAGGUGUGAAAUCCCCAGGCUCAACCUGGGAACUGCACUUGAAACUGGUUGCCUUGAGUGCUGGAGAGGGAAGCGGAAUUCCUGGUGUAGAGGUGAAAUUCGUAGAUAUCAGGAGGAACACCGGUGGCGAAAGCGGCUCCCUGGCCCGAUACUGACGCUCAUGUACGAAGCGUGGGGAGCAAACAGG
This 252-nucleotide ribosomal RNA is filed under the name uncultured bacterium. RNAcentral describes it as "partial 16S ribosomal RNA". It matches the Rfam family "Bacterial small subunit ribosomal RNA", at positions 524 to 776 of the family's 1533-position model. The record is from RNAcentral.